This 1001-nucleotide ribosomal RNA is filed under the name Haloarcula sp. MaC1. RNAcentral describes it as "bacterial SSU rRNA". It matches the Rfam family "Archaeal small subunit ribosomal RNA", at positions 74 to 1072 of the family's 1478-position model. The record is from RNAcentral. Lineage: Archaea; Methanobacteriati; Methanobacteriota; Halobacteria; Halobacteriales; Haloarculaceae.
ACUCGUGGCAUAUAGCUCAGUAACACGUGGCCAAACUACCCUACAGACCGCGAUAACCUCGGGAAACUGAGGCCAAUAGCGGAUACAGCUCUCAUGCUGGAGUGCAGAGAGCUGGAAACGUUCCGGCGCUGUAGGAUGUGGCUGCGGCCGAUUAGGUAGAUGGUGGGGUAACGGCCCACCAUGCCGAUAAUCGGUACAGGUUGUGAGAGCAAGAGCCUGGAGACGGUAUCUGAGACAAGAUACCGGGCCCUACGGGGCGCAGCAGGCGCGAAACCUUUACACUGCACGACAGUGCGAUAGGGGGACUCCGAGUGUGAGGGCAUAUAGCCCUCGCUUUUCUGUACCGUAAGGUGGUACAGGAACAAGGACUGGGCAAGACCGGUGCCAGCCGCCGCGGUAAUACCGGCAGUCCGAGUGAUGGCCGAUAUUAUUGGGCCUAAAGCGUCCGUAGCUUGCUGUGUAAGUCCAUUGGGAAAUCGACCAGCUCAACUGGUCGGCGUCCGGUGGAAACUACACAGCUUGGGGCCGAAAGACUCAACGGGUACGUCCGGGGUAGGAGUGAAAUCCUGUAAUCCUGGACGGACCACCAAUGGGGAAACCACGUUGAGAGACCGGACCCGACAGUGAGGGACGAAAGCCAGGGUCUCGAACCGGAUUAGAUACCCGGGUAGUCCUGGCUGUAAACAAUGCUCGCUAGGUAUGUCACGCGCCAUGAGCACGUGAUGUGCCGUAGUGAAGACGAUAAGCGAGCCGCCUGGGAAGUACGUCCGCAAGGAUGAAACUUAAAGGAAUUGGCGGGGGAGCACCACAACCGGAGGAGCCUGCGGUUUAAUUGGACUCAACGCCGGACAUCUCACCGGUCCCGACAGUAGUAAUGACAGUCAGGUUGACGACUUUACUCGAUGCUACUGAGAGGAGGUGCAUGGCCGCCGUCAGCUCGUACCGUGAGGCGUCCUGUUAAGUCAGGCAACGAGCGAGACCCACACUUCUAGUUGCCAGCA